ACCCAUGGGGCUCAGUUCUUCAG
This 23-nucleotide microRNA is filed under the name Gallus gallus (chicken). RNAcentral describes it as "gga-miR-146a-3p". Its record names the gene gga-miR-146a-3p. Lineage: Eukaryota; Metazoa; Chordata; Aves; Galliformes; Phasianidae. The record is from miRBase by way of RNAcentral.